UACGUAGGCAGCAAGCGUUGUUCGGAUUCACUGGGCGUAAAGGGUGCGUAGGUGGUGAGGUAAGUCGGAUGUGAAAGCUCGGAGCUCAACUCCGAAAUGGCAUUGGAAACUACCUUGCUCGAGGGUUGGAGGGGGGACUGGAAUACUUGGUGUAGCAGUGAAAUGCGUAGAUAUCAAGUGGAACACCAGUGGCGAAGGCGAGUCCCUGGACAACUCCUGACACUGAGGCACGAAAGCUAGGGGAGCAAACAGG
This 253-nucleotide ribosomal RNA is filed under the name uncultured bacterium. RNAcentral's name for it is "partial 16S ribosomal RNA". It matches the Rfam family "Bacterial small subunit ribosomal RNA", at positions 524 to 776 of the family's 1533-position model. The record is from RNAcentral.